Molecule: transfer RNA, 66 nt
Filed under: Acidianus manzaensis
Lineage: Archaea; Thermoproteati; Thermoproteota; Thermoprotei; Sulfolobales; Sulfolobaceae
Description: tRNA-Glu
Rfam family: tRNA
About the family: Transfer RNA (tRNA) molecules are approximately 80 nucleotides in length.
Source: RNAcentral
GGGCUCCAGAUGAGCAACGUUGGGUCUUCAACCCAGUGGUCCAGGGUUCGAAUCCCUGUGGGCCCA